GGGGUGCCCACGGUGGGGAAAGGACAGAGGGGGAGAGCAAGGCUGCAGUGUGUCCUGAGAGGGCCUGGCUGUUUGCCCUUGGGAUCUAGGAGCUUUCCCAGCAGAAGGAGGACAGGAGGGACAGAGGGCGGGAUGGAUAGCUGUGUCACUGCCUGCUGCAGUUUUCCCCGGGGUUUUAGAGAGGAUUUCCUCUGUGUCUGAGGGAGUGAACCCGGGGGCCCUGCGCUGCUCCAGCCACCCCUCCCAGGGAUGUUGCUGAGGGCAGGGAAAGAGUGUGGAGAGUGACCAGGAGCCAGCCCAGAGCUCCCCAGGCCCCUGUGCACCUUUGGCCAUAUCUAUUCACAUCUGGCUCCCACAGCCUUAGCUGACCGCCGUGCAGUGCCCAGUUCCCUGUGGCAGAAGGGGAUCCCAGCACACCCUGGAAAGUGUUCUCAUCUGUGCUCCGUUCCAGAUGAGGUUGCUGGGAAGGCUUCUCCAUCAGCUUGGAUGAAUAAAGUUUUGAAGCCCUUGGAGCCUCCUGCAGAUGUGUCUACAGGGAGGACUUCUCCAGCUCCUACCUUGGAUGUUGCACUCAAGCCCAGCUCCCAUCACAGUGGUACUCCAACAGGGAAAAUCCAAGAUACAAUAGAUAAGAUAUCCCUGGAACCAUCCAAAGAGAUGAGGCAAGAGCUGAAGGAACCCCUGCAGACAAGAGAAGAGAUGGACAUAGUGCUUCAGUGGAAGGUGGCAUUUCCUGAAGGAAGCACUCUAUCUUCGGUGCCAGCCCCUGCUGCAGGAAGGAAGGCAAAGCCAGACACGGGCAC
This is a long non-coding RNA of Passer domesticus (house sparrow), 803 nucleotides long. RefSeq lists it as uncharacterized. Lineage: Eukaryota; Metazoa; Chordata; Aves; Passeriformes; Passeridae. The record is from RefSeq and is a predicted model, not a curated record. The transcript is spliced from 4 exons.